This 496-nucleotide ribosomal RNA is filed under the name uncultured bacterium. RNAcentral describes it as "partial 16S ribosomal RNA". It matches the Rfam family "Bacterial small subunit ribosomal RNA", at positions 28 to 507 of the family's 1533-position model. The record is from RNAcentral.
GAUGAACGCUGGCGGCGUGCCUAAUACAUGCAAGUCGAGCGAACAGACGAGGAGCUUGCUCUUCUGAUGUUAGCGGCGGACGGGUGAGUAACACGUGGAUAACCUACCUAUAAGACUGGGAUAACUUCGGGAAACCGGAGCUAAUACCGGAUAAUAUUUUGAACCGCAUGGUUCAAUAGUGAAAGACGGUUUUGCUGUCACUUAUAGAUGGAUCCGCGCCGCAUUAGCUAGUUGGUAAGGUAACGGCUUACCAAGGCAACGAUGCGUAGCCGACCUGCGAGGGGGAUCGGCCACACGGAAACUGGGACAGGGUCCGGAUUCCUACGGGAGGAAGCAGUGGGGAAUCUUCCGCAAUGGGCGAAAGCCUAACGGAGCACGCCGCGUGAGUGAUGAAGGUCUUCGGAUCGUAAAACUCUGUUAUUAGGGAAGAACAAAUGUGUAAGUAACUAUGCACGUCUUGACGGUACCUAAUCAGAAAGCCACGGCUAACUACGUG